Molecule: ribosomal RNA, 301 nt
Filed under: uncultured bacterium
Lineage: Bacteria
Description: partial 16S ribosomal RNA
Rfam family: Bacterial small subunit ribosomal RNA
Source: RNAcentral
CAGCAGCCGCGGUAAUACGAAGGGGGCUAGCGUUGUUCGGAAUUACUGGGCGUAAAGCGCACGUAGGCGGACAUUUAAGUCAGGGGUGAAAUCCCGGGGCUCGACCCCGGAACUGCCUUUGAUACUGGGUGUCUAGAGUAUGGAAGAGGUGAGUGGAAUUCCGAGUGUAGAGGUGAAAUUCGUAGAUAUUCUGAGGAACACCAGUGGCGAAGGCGGCUCACUGGUCCAUUACUGACGCUGAGGUGCGAAAGCGUGGGGAGCAAACAGGAUUAGAGACCCCGGUAGUCCCUGUCUCUUAUAC